Long non-coding RNA from Eriocheir sinensis (Chinese mitten crab), 4977 nucleotides. RefSeq lists it as uncharacterized. NCBI's taxonomy places the organism in Eukaryota, Metazoa, Arthropoda, Malacostraca, Decapoda, Varunidae. The record is from RefSeq and is a predicted model, not a curated record. The transcript is spliced from 4 exons.
GGGGGAGGAAAUGGAGUGUCACCUUGAAACACUUUAGCCAUAAAAUAAUCACCUCCACCAUCAUCACCAUCAUCAUCAUCACCAUCACCAUCACCUCCACUCAUUUGGGGUUUUCAAUACCCUAAUACCACCACCACCAUCACCACUAUCCUCAUCAACAUCACACGACCGGACUCACAUCUCACUCAUCAUCACCAUCACCAUCAUCAUCACUAUCACCACUUACACCACCACCACUAACAUCCUCUUUUGUUGCGCCAUGUUGCGUCAUCACCACAACUAUUUAUACCACUGCCCUUGACAACAACCACCACCACCACCACCAUCAUCAUCAUUAUCAUCAUCAUUAUUUAUAGAUAUUCCCCACAGUAUCACCAUCUUCAUCAUCAUAUUCAUCAGCACUAUCAAAACACUAGCAUAUCAUCAUCAUCAUUAUGGGCGGAUAUUUCUCACACUUCACCAUCGUCAUCACCAAUCACCAUCACCACCACCACUGACUUCAUCACCAUCAACAUCAUCGUCUUCACCAUCAUGUUUUCAAAGGGUUAUUUCACACACUACUAACAUCCUCAUAAUCGUCAUCACCAUCACCACCACGACAAACAACAGUGACUUCAGAACCAUCACCAUCACCAUCAACAUCAACAUCACCAUUACACGACAAAAUAUCUUCAGCCUUAUUUUUUUUUUCCCCUCCAUCCGCUCCUUGUUUUCUCUCUCUCUCUCUCUCUCUCUCUCUCUCUCUCUCUCUCUCUCUCUCUCUCUCUCUCUCUCUCUCUCUCUCGUAACUGGUUCAGACCGCCAAGACAAAAACAACAACAAUAAUAAAAAUAACAAUAAUACCACUAUAAUAUUUUUUUCAACAUACAUAUUUUUUUUUUCUCUCACUUCUGUUCUUUCACAAACUUAAAACUCACAUUCAUUCACCCACAAACACACUUUCUAUGAUUACUACUUAUUUUCCUCUCUCUCUCUCUCUCUCUCUCUCUCUCUCUCUCUCUCUCUCUCUCUCUCCUCCAUUCCUCGGUGCGUUUCUUCCAUUCUCCUUCUUCGCUUACUCCGUCAAUCCUAUUUCUGUCUCUCCAUUCAAGUCUAUUUUCGUUCCUCCUCCGAUUUAUUGAUUUCCUCCUUCCCUUCAGUCUUCGUAAUGCUAAGUUGAACGCGUCUUUUCGCUCUUACUGUUUCGCAUUUCUGUUUAUUUCUGCUCAAUUCUUCUUUUUCUUCUCAGUCUGGUGUAUGUUUUUUUUCUUUCUCUCCCUUCUUCGUGUUUUAAAUUUCUCUAUUGUUGUCAAGUUCUUCCUCUAUCCAGUGGUUUAUUUUUUUCUUUCUCCAUUUUUUGUUGUUCCUUAUUCCUUCAUUCGAAGUGUCCUUAAUCAAUUCUUCUUUUUCUUUUCAGUCUGUGUAUGUUUUUCUUUCUCUCCCUUCUUCGUGUUCUAAAGUUUUCCAUUGUCGUCUAGUUCUUCCUCUGUGCAGUGUAGUUUAUUUUUUUCUUUCUCCAUUUUUUAUUUUUCCUUAUUCCUUCGUUCCAACCUGUCCCUCAUUCGUCUAUUUUUGAUCCCUGUCUAGUUAAUCGACCUUCCUUCUUUCCCUUCUUCUAUAUUCAUUCUUUCAAACCAUCCCUCAUUCCAGUUUAGUCCUUCCUCUUUUCUCUCUAAUAAUAUGUCCGCCUCAUUCUCUUCUUCCGUCCUCUACCUCUUCCUCCUCCUCUCUUUACUCCGUGUCUCUCCUCUUCCCUUCUUUCUUUGCUUCCUGGUUCUUCUUCUUUCCUUCUUCAUUCUCCUCCUCUUCCUCUCUUUACUCUGUUGUCUCUCCUAUAUCUUUCUUUCUUAUGGCUAUUUUUGUUUCUUUUUAUAUAUAUUUAUCUUACAUUUUCUUUAUAAUUUCUCUUCUCUCUCUACAGUUAAUCUUUCUAACUAUCUUUCAUUUCAGUCUAGUCCCCCAUCUUCUCUUUCUAGUAAUACAUCUGACUAUUCUCUUCUUUCGUCUGUAUUUCUUCUUUCUAACUAUCCUUCAUCAUUCCAGUCAAGUCCUUUCUCUUCUCUUUCUAGUAGUAAAUUUGCCUUCAUUUUCUUCUUUCGUCUUCUAUCUUCUUUUAUCAGGUCCAAUUUUGUCUAUUUUCGUCAUGCUUUCUUCGUCUUGAACCACUUACAUUGCUUAUUAUAGUUUUUUUUCUUUCUCCUCGCUCCUUAUCUUCUCCCUUUCCGGGCUCUCUCUCUCUCUCUCUCUCUCUCUCUCUCUCUCUCUCUCUCUCUCUCUCUCUCUCUCUCUCUCUCUCUUUCCUGUCUAAAACGUUUGUCCUAUUCUCCUUUCCCUUUUUUUAAGUUUCAUAAUUUAUUCCUUCCCGUCACUUAUUUCCUACUUUCUCUUUUUUAUGUGGAUUUAUUUUUUGUUAUUUUUACGAUCGUUUUCGACACCUUCCUUUUUUCAACAUUUUCCUAGAGUGUCUUCAGCUCAUAUAGUCCUUUCUUGUAUAUUUAUUGGUCUUUUUUCUAUUUUCCUAACUUCCUUUCCUUCCUUUGGUAUGUUCAAAAUUCUUCUUCCCUCUUCCACAUUCUCCCUUUCUUCCAUUAUUCCUCCCUCAACAUUUCUUUCUGUAACACAUUUGCCUUUUCCUUUUCCCACUUUUCCUCCCUUUUCCCUUCCAUUUCCCUCUUUGGUAUGUUCAGAAGUCUCCCUCCCUUUCCCACAUUCUCCCUUCCAUUAUUCCUCCUUCAACACUUCUUUCUAUAACACAUUUGCCUCUCCCUUUUCCCAUCUUCCUUCCCUCUUCCCUUCCAUUUCCCUCUUUGGUAUGUUCAGAAGUCUCCCUCCCUUUCCCACAUUCUUUCCUAAUUCCCUUUAUUCCUCCCUCGACACUUUCCCUCCCAUGACAUAUUUAUUACUUUUCCCCUUUCCCAGCUUCCUUCCCUUUUAUCUCCCUUUUUUUGUAUGAUUUAAAAGCCUGCCUUCCUUUCCCACAAUUUCUUUCCUUGUUCCUCCAUUAACAGUUUGCCUUUCACACCCUUCCAUUCAUCCUUUUUUUUGUGUAAGUUAUGCCUUUCCUUCCUUCAGUCCUGCUUCUGGUUUUCUUUUUGGCGGUAUAUUUAUUUAUUAUUCCUCUAUUUACAGUUUCCCUUCUUUAACAUUUGCCUUUCACACCCUUCCAUUUAUCCUUUUGUUUACAUGAGUUAUGCCUUUCCUUCCUUCAGUCCUGCUUCCCGUUUUCUUUAUGGUGGUGUGUUUAUUUGUCCUUCCUCCAUUUACAGUUUCCCUUCUUUAACAUUCGCCUUUCACACCCUUCCAUUUCUCCUCUUUUGUGUGUGUUUAUAAGUUCUGCCUUUCCUUCCUUCAAUCCUUCCUCUCGCUUCCUCUUCGGCGGUAUGUUUAUUUGUCCUUCCUCCAUUCUUCACGUCCCUUCCCUCCAACAAGCCUCUCUUUAUGCUUUCCUUCCUUGUUUGUUUAUCUCCCUUUCCCUCCAUCCACCACACACGCCCUUCCUCUCUACAUUUUCCCUUAAUUUUCCCCAUUCACGCCCUUCCUCUCCCUUGCCCCCCUCCUCCUCCCUAUCCUCACGUUCCCUCACUCCCUGUAGUCUUCCCUUACGUUCUCCUUUCCUUUCUAGUCUUCUUCCUAGCCAUAUAAGGAAAGUCUCCAACGUUUCAAUUUGCAUUCUCUAAACAAGGUGAUGGGUGAGACGAAAGGAGACUUGGGUUUAUAAAAGGGUGGAGGGAUGUAAUAUGGGUGGCGUUGAUAGGGUUCUGUGUUAAGAAGGCAGGGAAGGGCAAGGUAGGGUAGGGUAGGGCAAGGUAGGGUAGGGUAGCAAGGUAGGGUAGGGUAGGGCAAGGCAGGUUUAGGGUAGGACAAGGUAGGGUAGGGUUGGGCAAGGUAGGGUAGGGUUGGGCAAGGCAGGUUUAGGGUAGGGCAAGGUAGGGUAGGGUUAAUUUCGUGAUUCAGAGAGGUAAUGUCAAUGAGGUUCUGGAGGCAAGAAAGCAGGGUAGGGCAAGGCAGGUUUAGGGUAGGACAAGAUAGGGUAGGGUAGGGCAAGGCAGGUUUAGGGUAGGGCAAGGCAGGUUUAGGGUAGGGUUAAGUUCGUGAUUCAGAGAGGUGAUGUCAAUGAGCUUCUGGUGUUAAGAGGGCAGGGUAGGACACGUAGUAAUGGGUUUAAGUUUGUAAUUCUGAUUCAACAAAGAUAAAGUUAAAACACUCUAAUUGGUGCUUUCUUUUAUUAAUGGCGUGGUGGAUGAGUGAGUGCUUGUCAGUCGCGCGGUGAGUGGCAAUACCAUAGAUACAUUCAGGAAGAGGUUUGAUAGAUUCACGGAUAGGGAGGACAAGACAAGGACAAGACGCCUCCCCACCCGAAAUUGACCUCUCUUCUGGCUACUCUUUACCUUUGUCUUUUAUGGGAGCGGCGAGUAGCGGACUUUUUUUUUUUGUACUCUUUUUGUUGCCCUUGAGCCGUGACCUUUAAUGUAAAAAAAAGUGGAAAAGGGUGGAAUGGGGAAUAGGAAAGGAAGGGGAAGGUGGAAUUGUAGGAAAGGGGUGGAAGAGGGAGCAUGGAAGAGCAGGGCAUGGGUAAUGGGAAGCGAAGGUGGAUUGUAGGAACGGGAAGUGGAAGGGGGAGGAAUGGGAAGGGAAGGUGGAUUGUAGGAACAGAAAGUGGAAGGGUGAGGAAUGGGAAGGAACGGGAAGUGGAAGGGGAAGGGAGGAAUGGGAAGGAAAGGUGGAUUGUAGGAAAGGGAAGUGGAAGGGGGAGGAAUGGGAAGGGAAGGUGGAUUGUAGGAACGGGAAGUGGAAGGGGGAGGAAUGGGAAGGGAAGGUGGAUUGUAGGAACGGGAAGUGGAAGGGGGAGGAAUGGGAAGGGAAGGUGGAUUGUAGGAACGGGAAGUGGAAGGGGGAGGAAUGGGAAGGGAAGGGGGCUCAGGUUUACAGGAGAGUAUCAGGACACCUCUUCCCCCGAAAUUGACCUCUCUUUUGAACAAUUCUCGACUCUUUCUUUUU